GUCAGGAAGGCACAGCCUGACUCUUUGAACCCAAAUCCCAGGGUGGAGCUGACUUGGGGGACAAACUGGAAGGGAUCCCCUCCCAGAGGCGCUGGACCAGGAAGACCAGACACCAUGGUCUCACGUUACCCUCUGCCUGCCUGCUGCCCAGCCCGGGGACCCCACCCACUGGGCCUCCUGCCCUCACAUACUUUCCGUGACCAACAGACACCCUCCGGCUCCUGCCUAGCCACCCCCACCUGACGGGAAGGACCGUGCUCGGCAGAGACUUGGAAUGCCUAAGCUGGGCCGACCCAGAGAAAGAACCUCAGCACAGAUGGAGAGACCAAGGCCAGAGAAGCUGGAAGGACUGGAUGGAGGAGGAGAAGGAGUCAUGGGGGAUGGAGGGAUGGUUGGCUGCAGCAAUGAUCUCAGGUGGUCCGAUGCCACCCCGACCCCUCCCAGGAGGCCGCCCACCCCUAGUACCUUGAGGUCCAGAUGCAGAACUCUCAUCUUGUGCAUGAAGAGGAUGCCAUCGCAGAUCUGCCUGACAAACACCAUGGUGUCCACCUCAGUCAGCUGGUAGUCCUCAUCCACAAUCCUCUCGAAGAGCUCGCCACCCUCGAUGCUGUGUGCACAGACCCCUCUACAGGCUUGCCUCUGGGCCUGCUGCCUUCUGCUCCCCCCCAGCCCCAGGCCCCCACCCUGCUGCCGACACUCACUACUCCAUGAAGAGGACGAUCUCAUGCGGGGUCUCGAUGGCCGCAUAAAGCUGGAUCAGGUU
Long non-coding RNA from Bubalus bubalis (water buffalo), 763 nucleotides. RefSeq lists it as uncharacterized. The record is from RefSeq and is a predicted model, not a curated record. The transcript is spliced from 2 exons. Lineage: Eukaryota; Metazoa; Chordata; Mammalia; Artiodactyla; Bovidae.